This 664-nucleotide long non-coding RNA is filed under the name Mytilus galloprovincialis (Mediterranean mussel). The record is from RNAcentral. Lineage: Eukaryota; Metazoa; Mollusca; Bivalvia; Mytilida; Mytilidae.
GGAUCUUCAUCAUCAUGUUCAUUACAGAGCAUAGAAAAAGACUGAUGAGCAACUGAUCUCUUAUCUCCAUUGUUUAUCAAUGUCCAUGUUAUGGGAUCAUACAUGUCUCUGGAAUGGUUAUGUCCAGUUUGGUGAUCUUGAUCCUAUAGUUUUUGACAUUUUUCUCGUUACAUAAAAUCAUGUGACCAUGAAGAUAAAACAAAAACAAAAUAUUUUCCCUUAAAACAAACAGACCAACAGAAAACCCAGCAUACUCAGAAAUUCUAAUGCUGACUUGUUUUGUUGUUUGGUUGUUGUUGGUUUUUUUUUUCUUUUUCUAUCUGUUUCCACUUCCAGCUCAUUUGAAAAAUAAACAAGAGUUGAUGAUCCCAAUUGCCAGUUAUGAAUUUUUUUUCAUAUAAUCUAAAUUUGUCAACAAAAAUUUCAGUUAAAAUAUUAAAGAAAAUUUACAAAUAGACAAUUUAUUUUUACAAAGUGAAGUAAAAGCCUUGAACUUGUAAACCUAUCAUACAUUCUCUUGAAGUAGCAUUGUUUUAUGCCAAGCAAUAGUUGCUUUCUUUCGCUUCAGUCAUUGCUGUCAUGAGCAUACAUAAAAGGAUUCUCUUUUCAACAAUACUGUCAAUAUUAAAACAAAGUCACACAAAUUUUACAGGUAGGCUGCAUA